RNAcentral lists this non-coding RNA (86 nucleotides) under uncultured Butyricicoccus sp. Its description in RNAcentral is "TPP riboswitch (THI element)". It matches the Rfam family "TPP riboswitch aptamer (THI element)", at positions 9 to 90 of the family's 105-position model. Rfam says of the family: Vitamin B(1) in its active form thiamin pyrophosphate (TPP) is an essential coenzyme that is synthesised by coupling of pyrimidine and thiazole moieties in bacteria. The record is from RNAcentral. Lineage: Bacteria; Bacillati; Bacillota; Clostridia; Eubacteriales; Butyricicoccaceae.
ACAGGGGAGCCUGUAUUGGCUGAGAGUAAGCAGCACUGCUUAGACCCUUUUACCUGAUUUGGGUAAUGCCAACGUAGGAAGUCAAA